GCGGCCAUGCGUCCCCUCUCCUGUUGCGCUCUCGUCCGUCUCCACAAUUUGUGCAGACCAAAGACAAAGUAAGAGUGUGCUGAAAGAAGAAAUUGACCUACUUAAGGUGGAACCAAACGAAGGCGAAGUGGAUCUAGAAAGAAGCAUUUAACGACUGGCCGCACCAGACCAAACCGUAGCAGAACUCAACUGAAGGCAACCGCGGUCGCAAUGAGUCAGCAGGAAUGCAGUCUAUCAGAUGAUGAAAAGCAGAAGGAAUCCCUUCUCAGAGAGUGAAAUACGAAACUGGUGCUUUCAAAUAUUUUAAGAUCUGAUUUACAUGCAUUAGCAUGGAUAUUUCCAAUGCGACCUUAAUCCUGAUAUGUGGUUUUGCAUUUUUUUUACAAACAAUGUUGCAAUGGUUGAUCUAUGAUUCAUUUUUGUUGUGAAACAAGUUUCUAGCCCCAAUCAUUUUCACAUGACAUUUUAGACAAGAAAAUAGUUCUCCAUGUAGCUCAAUCUUCAUGUUUAAAAUAUCGUGUGUAUUUAACUGGAGGGACUAUCACUUAUAAGCCCAAGAAUAGCUUCCUUGCAAUUUUUCUAUAUGAGUUGCAUCUUAUAUUUUUUUAAAGUAUACAAAAUAAUAAUACACCUGUAUAACAGCGACAUGAGGAACACAACGCGCGAAGGACACGUGAGAUACUAGUUCUAUAUAAGCACAUUUAUAUAAGGUGAUGCAUUAUAAGUUCAUUCCACAAAUUUGGUAGAAUGAAUCAAUUUCUCAUACUUUUACUAAUUAUUAGUACAUAAGGAAUGAAAUGAUGAUGGAUCAACUCAUUUCAUUCCAUAAACCAAAUAAAAUAAUAAGGAGUGAGAAUACGAUAUACUAACUUAUUC
Molecule: RNA transcript, 876 nt
Organism: Zea mays
Lineage: Eukaryota; Viridiplantae; Streptophyta; Magnoliopsida; Poales; Poaceae
Exons: 4
Source: RefSeq, marked validated